CAGAGCCACGGUAAUACAGAGGGUGCAAGCGUUGUCCGGAAUCAUUGGGCGUAAAGCGCGCGUAGGUGGCCAUUUAAGUCCGCUGUGAAAGUCAAAGGCUCAACCUUUGAAAGCCGGUGGAUACUGGAUGGCUAGAGUACGGAAGAGGCGAGUGGAAUUCCUGGUGUAGCGGUGGAAUGCGCAGAUAUCAGGAGGAACACCAAUAGCGAAGGCAGCUCGCUGGGACGUUACUGACACUGAGGCGCGAAAGCAUGGGGAGCGAACAGGAUUAGAUACCCCAGUAGUCCCUGUCUCUUAUACA
Molecule: ribosomal RNA, 301 nt
Filed under: uncultured bacterium
Lineage: Bacteria
Description: partial 16S ribosomal RNA
Rfam family: Bacterial small subunit ribosomal RNA
Source: RNAcentral